GCGCGCAAGCCCUGAUGCAGCCAUGCCGAGUGAUGUAAGGAGGCCUUCCGGUGUAACGUCACUUCAGGCGGGAAGGAAGGUGUGUGAGUCAUAACCUCUAGCAUUUGACGUACCGGCAGAAAGAAGCACCUGUCUUACUUCGUGUCAGCAGCGCAGGUAAUACGGAGGGGUGCUAAGCGUUAAUCGGAAUUACUAGGCGUAAAGCGCACGCAGGCGGUCCGUCAAGUCGAAUGUGAAAUCCUCUGAGCUCAACCUGGGAACUGCAUUCGAAACUGGCAGGCUUGAGUCUCGUAGAGGGGGGGUAGAAUUCCAGGUGUAGCGGUGAAAUGCGUAGAGAUCUGGAGGAAUACCCGGUGGCGAAGGCGUCCCCCUGGACGAAGACUGACGCUCAGGUGAGAAAGCGUGGGGAGCAAACAGGAUUAGAUACCCUGGUAGUCCACGCCGUAAACGAUGUCGAUUUGGAGGUUGUGCCCUUGAGGCGUGGCUUCCGGAGCUAACGCGUUAAAUCGACCGCCUGGGGAGUACGGCCGCAAGGUUAAAACUCAAAUGAAUUGACGGGGGCCCGCACAAGCGGUGGAGCAUGUGGUUUAAUUCGAUGCAACGCGAAGAACCUUACCUGGUCUUGACAUCCACGGAAUUUUGCAGAGAUGCGGAAGUGCCUUCGGGAACUGUGAGACAGGUGCUGCAUGGCUGUCGUCAGCUCGUGUUGUGAAAUGUUGGGUUAAGUCCCGCAACGAGCGCAACCCUUAUCCUUUGUUGCCAGCGGUCCGGCCGGGAACUCAAAGGAGACUGCCAGUGAUAAACUGGAGGAAGGUGGGGAUGACGUCAAGUCAUCAUGGCCCUUACGACCAGGGCUACACACGUGCUACAAUGGCAUAUACAAAGAGAAGCGACCUCGCGAGAGCAAGCGGACCUCAUAAAGUAUGUCGUAGUCCGGAUUGGAGUCUGCAACUCGACUCCAUGAAGUCGGAAUCGCUAGUAAUCGUAGAUCAGAAUGCCACGGUGAAUACGUUCCCGGGCCUUGUACACACCGCCCGUCACACCAUGGGAGUGGGUUGCAAAAGAAGUAGGUAGCUUAACCUUCGGGAGGGCGCUUACCCACC
Molecule: ribosomal RNA, 1103 nt
Filed under: Citrobacter sp.
Lineage: Bacteria; Pseudomonadati; Pseudomonadota; Gammaproteobacteria; Enterobacterales; Enterobacteriaceae
Description: bacterial SSU rRNA
Rfam family: Bacterial small subunit ribosomal RNA
Source: RNAcentral